ACAUUCAUAUCCUGGAGGAGAUAAAGGCCCCAUUUGGCUCUUGGAGACCGCAGCCACUUCCUGGCCACUACCGGCCAGUGCCAUUCUCCUGCGAGGUUGGAUCUUGGGAGACUCCUGCUCAAACUCUAACUUGACCUGGCCAGGGGGAUUUUAAAGGAGGACCAAGUUGAGUGGCUUCGAGGUCACCCCACGCCACUGCAGGACAGGUCAGCUGCUGCUCCCCUCCGCGCUGUGCCGGAGGCUCAGACAUAGGCGGAUCCUCGUGAAGUCACCUUGAGGCCAAGGCCAGGGCAGCAGGUGCAGACAGCCUCCCUGGGAUUGCAUGCUGAAGCUGCAUUUUGCCAACAUUCUGCCGGGCUGAAGCUGCAGACACGCUGGCGAUGCUCAGGCAAGCUUGUCACCUGCUCCCGGCUGCCAGGCAGAGCUGGCGGGUGUCCCCGCUCUUGCAUGGAUGCUCUUUCAGCUGUGACUCCCAGACCAGCCGAAGAACCCAGAAAGGAAGAAAGGAAAACGUUGCACCUCGACAACAAGGAAAUGAAGUCCUAGCACAGGGGUGCCCUCGUGGUCAUGCGGCAGCGGGGACCCAGCACAGGGGCUGCUCCACAGUCGGGCCCACAGCGCCCCCAUCAGACGCAGUCUUGAAACCUUUCUGGCUCCAGCCUUGGUCUUUGUAGUUUCCUGUUAAUUUAAUCCCUGAACCUUCGCCAUGUAAAUAGCGCAGCCCUCUGCUAUCCAGGUGCCUGGAAUACAGAUGUGAUGGCUGGCGCGGAUGCUGCUAGCUUGGAUUAUGAAGAUGAGAUGGGCGAAUAGUGAUCUGGAUUGAAACCUGAGUCCUCAAGAACUAGUGAUACAAAGCCACUAUGUCGGCCAUGAGCGGUCCACCCCCACACUUCUACAAAAGGGAAAAAAUAAACUUUCAUUGUGUUUGGAGUCUGUAUUAUCA
This is a long non-coding RNA of Neofelis nebulosa (Clouded leopard), 943 nucleotides long. RefSeq lists it as uncharacterized. The record is from RefSeq and is a predicted model, not a curated record. The transcript is spliced from 4 exons. NCBI's taxonomy places the organism in Eukaryota, Metazoa, Chordata, Mammalia, Carnivora, Felidae.